Long non-coding RNA from Protopterus annectens (West African lungfish), 6874 nucleotides. RefSeq lists it as uncharacterized. The transcript has 2 exons. NCBI's taxonomy places the organism in Eukaryota, Metazoa, Chordata, Ceratodontiformes, Protopteridae. The record is from RefSeq and is a predicted model, not a curated record.
AAUACAUAUUUAAUUAUCAAGAUAUGUAAUUUAAUAAUUUACAUGAUAAGCACCUCACGUUCAGUUUUAAACACAUAACAUCUGUUUUAUCUUAGGGUUUACUGGGGGUGUAACAUCUAGUACUGAUACAGAAAAUAGCAAGAUAUAUAUUUGGCUUCUAAAUAUUUCUGUAUAAAUAUUCAGGCAAAAUCAUUUAUUACUGUGAAGUAUACCCCAAAAAUAUAGUUAUAAUCUUGCAGUAACUGGGAACGCAUUUAUUUUGUAUAGAUAGCUCUUUGGGAAUUUAAAAGUAUUUUAUAUUUUGAUGGUUUGCGCAAGACUGCAGUUGCAAACCCUUGCAUGACCUGCCAAAAUCAUGUGUAACAAAAGAAAAAGAAAGCAAGUAAAUUUAUUUUAUGCAAAAAUUAUUUUGAUGUACAAAAACACAGUAUGCGGUAUAGCUUUCAAGCAUGUCCUCUGCCUGAAGUUUGAAGAAUAGCAUUGUAUUCCAAAUAGCACCUCAUUUGUCAACCCUUGACAAGUUACAAAGGAUAGUUUUCUGACAGUUCAAAAAUGACACAGAAGAAAGCCCACUUAUUUUUUGCACAAUGUGUUAAGAACUCUUGAUGCAAGUAAGAAAAUUGUUUAUUUUUAUCCAAAAAGCUGUAUUUCAGUGGAUUUCAGCAUGAAAGAUUCUAGUAAAAGUUAAAAAAACUUGAAAGACAUUUUGAACAGAAGAGGUACUGAGAUUUCUGAAGUGUGAAAUAAGCGGAAAUGCAUAAUUUAUAGGGCAUUUUUUUGGGGUUGCUGUUUCACUCAGACAUUCUUUACUUAUUUCUUUUGUUUUUCUGUUAUAGUUUAUUGACUAGUUAGCUGAUACUGGGUAGAGAACAUUUACAGAAGAUACAUGAGAAUCCAAAGAAAUGUAAAUGCCAAUGUAAAUUGAAUACAAGAACAAAGUGAAUAAAGAAAACAAAAUGAAUAUGGGUAUCUUAAGCUGUACUGAAUUCAGCAGAGAUGUGUAUCACUGCUAUAACUAUGUACAAUAGUAUUAUAAUUUAUAAAAUUAAAAUAAACAUUAUAUAUAUAUUAUAUGGUAUGCAAACAUUACUGCUACAUUUCUGCAUUUCUGUGCAGGUUUCAAGUAUAAGGCUAUGUGCUUUAUGAAAUAUAGAUGUCAGCAUAGUAGAUGAGAUGAAAUGCACUAAGUGAAACAAAAAUACCCCAGAAAAGCUGAGAAAAGACUGGUCAGUGAGGGUAAUCGACUGGUGCUCAAGGUUCAACUCACCGAAAAACAUAGUUCCUCGAUAGUAAAUCACUGUCGGUGAGUUGUGCUGAAAGUGAUUCCUUUUUGGGGGAAUUUCCCACUUCUUCAAGUUGCACCCCACAUCAUGGAGUAAGUGUUUUUCAUUAGGAUUUUUUUGGGAGAAUACAUUUUGAGGAUUCUGAUCCUCACCGCAUUUGCUUUUGUCCACUCAUAGCAAACGUGAUAGGAGAUUGGUGCUUGUGUUGUGUAAAUCUGUACAAGCUGUGCAGGCUUCAGCUUUGCUUUAUCUUUCACAACAAAUAUACUUCAUAGGAAGAUAACAUUUGCACAUUUAAUUAUGCCUACAAAAUUGAGACUGACAUCAGUAGUUCAUACACUUUAACAAGAAAUUAACUUUGUGCAUUUGAAAGUUGUCACUGACAGGCAUGAGUUGUAACCAAUCACAAAAUAAAGACAGUUACAAUAACUACAUACCCAUUGCUAUUAAAAUUCCUGUUUUGAGAAUCAAAAAUAACUUAAGCCAUAUUAGUUUAAAAGAAAUGCUUUCUCAGUUUUACUUGGGCCUAAUUGUUAUGCCUUGAUCCUGUAGGACAAAGAUGUUAAAAGUAUUUUAUAGCUUGCUUUCAAAAGUGAUUUAGAGUGGUUGACAGACUAAGGCUCAGAUUCAUAGACUUGUGGUACAGCCUGCAGCACAAAUUAACACUAGUAGUGACAGUGGGUAGGGUGUGGGCAAUUCAGAGACCCAGGUAGCAUGACUGCACAGGAAAAAAAAUAAUACUGUAUGCAGUGCUUUCAAAUGACAGAAUAAUACAGAGAUGAGGAACACCAUGCAAAUGAGACUCACAGAAUAUCAAAUGGUGACAUCAAACAUGGUUGAGCCAGAAUAAUAUAAAAUAGUUACACUGUGUCAUGGUACAGACUUAUUCUGAAUACCAGAGAUUUAUUUACUUGACAUUUUUGUUUGUUUGCUGCUGCCUGCCAACUAUCUGUCCUUCUUGCAGCCAACUGACCUAUUUGAUCCCUUUCACCAGAAUGAGAAACAAAUGAGAGGUGUCAUGAUUUAGGCAGCCAUUAGGCUUUUUUACUUAUAUGUCUUUAACACAACAACCCAUGUCCAAUAAUAUGCUCAGGGUUUGGCAUGCCAUGACUAUCAGUGAGGACAUGUCACUUGCUUCUGCAAAUGAAGUAACCAUUAAUGACAACCCUGUCUCCUUGAUGCAAGUGCUCAUACAGGGUCUCUGUUCUCCAUUGGGAAUUCAGCCAUGGACACGUGUUUAUGCCUGGACAUGCAUGAUCUCCUAAGCUCCCCCAAGGAGACAUGAUCCUGCAAAGUUUUGUCUUUCCUCUCCUCUCCUCUCCUCCCUCAUUCCCACAUCAGCAGGUGCCUGAGCCACUAAUCAAACUCAGCUCACCUAGUUUAUAGAGCUUUAUCCCUUUAUGCCGCUGGUGCUGGUUUGAACAAUUAAGAUUUACAGUGUACAACUGGUGGAAGAUGUUAGAAUUAACAGAUCCUAUAGCAAAAUAGCAUAUGUUAGUGUCCACUACCUGAGCCAGUGCCUGUGACAUGACAUGCUGCGGCCAUCCAUGCUACAGGAUGUGCCCAUAGAGAUCAUGCAAUAACACCUCUGUCUUCAGGUGGUGAACUUUCCAGCUAUUGCUUCCCUCAAGGACUCAUGCUAAAUCCUGUACACAUAUGGGUUACAGAGUUACAUCCAUCCAUCACUGGGUAUGCAUGAAAUGCUGUGCAAGUCCCUUAUCCUUAUUAUGUAUCCAGUUAGCAGAUGCCUCUAGUUCUCUGCACAGCUGCUCCCCAUAUACACAUUGCAGCAAUGAGCAUAGCCUCCCUAGGCCUUUCCUGCAUGUGCCUAUAAGGACCAUGUAGUGUUAUAUGCAUUUUGUUAUGCCCUCCACUUACAAGGCAUCGCUAUACCUCAACUUAUUUACAGGAGGUCACAAUGUCCAUUGCGGCAUGUCAUUCCUUAGAUGCCCUAUGUCCAUGCUUCCCACACCCCCACUCACAGCUGGAUACAACAGAACCACGUCAAUGGGUUGUGUUCUCACUCACACACGCCCAUAGCAUUUGUCUCACUCUUACUGCCAUCCACCACAGGUGUUGAUGACAGUGCUGAGAUACAUUACUGUGCAAGUCUUCCUCCUUCAUUAUUUGUAGUGCCAAGUUCAUGUUGCUGUGUAAAGUCCUAUAUUCAAUAUUUUUUGUCUGCAUGUUUUUCCAUGCUAAGUUGUGCACACUCUUUCUAUCAUACUAAUAAGGGCCUCUUAGCCUGGCAGAAAUGUUAACAAGGCUAUUUAUUGCCAUUGACUCUGAAUCACUCAUGGAAUGCAAUGUGCAACCCCCAUUGCCCAUGCAAGCUAUGAUGAGCAUGGUGAUAGUGAAGCAUGUUUGCAAAAUGCUCAUGCACGCAUCCUAUAUGGAUUCACGGAGCCAUGGUGCAACACUAUUGGGUUUGGUGCCACCAUAUUGUAGUAUUAUAUCACUUGUGACUUGGUGCUGAAAUGUGCAUUAGUGUACACAGCUCUCAUUUUCUCCUUGAGUGAAUCAGACUGAGUGCACAUAGUUUCCUUAGUGGUUAUGAGUUGCAGAGCUCCAGCUGGGUGUACCAGGGAGUGCAAGAUGUUUUUAUUAUAUCUUCAUAGGGACUUUGCAUUCCACUUGUUGGGGCAACAUGUAGGCCCCUUGUGCAAGGCAGAUGCCUGACAUGAGCUUUCCCGAAUAUUGAGUGAUGUAACUCACAUCACCCAUUUUGGUGAGAAGUGCCACCAUCAUUCAAAGAUCUGUGGUGGUGCUACUCAGAAUUGCUUUAGAAGUGAAAAGCAGAGAUUAGGGAGACAGAGAGUGAGUGAGACGCGUGCCAUAAUAUUUUUUUUCCUAGCCUACCUUGGCAGUGAUAACCAGCAUGUUGGUCAUAUGCCUUUCUGCAGUGCUACUCAUCCACUGAACCUGCCUAGCAUUGUUCUUCACAUAAUGCAGGAUCCAAAAAGACAAAUAGGUAAAGUAUGAAGGUUGUUGUAGCAUUGUCCCAUCUCUAUUAUACCAUGCAAUCCCUUCCUCGAUAUGUCAGUAUUAUGCAAGCCUUAUUACAUAUCUGAUUAGCUGUAAAACUACUUCAGGCUACUGGUUACAUGUCAUUUAGCACUGUACAGGUGUGCAGUACUUGACUGUGAGUGCCUGUGUAUGGCUGCCAUGGUGUCUUCAUUUAGAUGUUAUCAAGAUAUGUUUUCUGGUCAUGAUAUGAUACUGCCAGUUAUCUCUUUCAUAGGGACAGACCCAUCAUUCUUUGAUUAUGACAAUAAUUCCAAAAUCUCUGUGACUACACUAGCAGUAUGGAGCCCAGGAUCUCACUCACUAUACUGCUAACUUGGUUCCAGGCUUGGCUGACAUGAGAGGAGUGAUAGUGUUUAUGUUUAUGUUUAUGCUUAUGUCUGUGUUUACCAUCUUCCAGAGAAUGGAUAUAAUGUCUGCAGUUGGUCUCCUGUGAGAAUCCGCAAGACAUCUAACAAUGUAUGUUCCAGUAGUGUAUUGUAUAUAAAUAGCAAACAGUCUAGGACAAUGGUAUAACAGCCUAGUACAAGAGUCUUAUAUCCUAUUAGACAACUCUGGCAUUUACUAUUGGGUCAGGAGCAAGCAAAUACUCAGUGCAUCUUAAGCUUCAAGGCAGAAUCAAGAAAAAGGUCGGUUAAGAUACAAUAAAUAUGUAAGAGGAGAAGACUGUUUGGUCUUUACCAGUACCUUUUUUGGGAGAUAUUUACUGCUGAACUAAUCUGUAAAUAUCAACAAAUAUCUGCUUUAAUAUGCUGAAGUGAAUCUAUUUAUCUGCUGCUCAGAUGAUACAUACUUUUUCUCAUCCUAUCUCAUAUUGCAGGUUCUGGAAUGUAGUCAUGCAAUUAAAUCUUUGUAAGGUUCUGUACUGGAGUAGUGGAGCCCCACAACUGUUUAAUAUUACUAAUCAUUUCUGGUAGAUUGACAUUUGCUUAGUGCAGAAGAGAUAGAAAGUACCAUAUGAGGUUAAUAUUAUAUAUAACUUAUGGAAUCUUAGCAUCCAGCAGCACAUACUGAACUUGGCAAACUGUAGUCCAGGUAUACUAUGGGUUAUGGUUUAUCUGACGGAGUCUUGGUUCAGAAAACCCCAGUCAGAGGAAUCUAAUUCAGUGACCUGGUGUAUGCUGAAAAUUCUUUUUGUAAAUGAGAGAAAAGCCUUUUAUAACCCCCAAGGGAUCUAUGCCUCCUUAAUUAAUAUAACUAAGACUACAGGGUAAAGGGCAUAUUCAAACCACCAAAUACCAUAUUAAGUAUUAUAAAUGCUGUUACAUAUUUACCGCUGCUCAUAAACACUCAUUCUCAUCCACCUUAAUAAAAAGGGGUGCAUUUUAUGUGCUUAUUCCUUUCUUUUCUUCCCCCUACCAGCCGAAGACAGUACAUAAGUUCUGUAACUUUUUAAGCCUAGUAUAUCAUGCUAACGAUGUUGCAUUGUUUAGCAGACCUUCAGAUAGAACACUAUUUUCAAGGCAAUGACUCACCUGGAACUGAAAGAUGUGACUUUUUCAUAGGCAUCUGUGUCAUCAGCUCCUCUUAUAAAGGUUUAUGGUUUAGUUCUUUGCUGUGCUAAGGAAAUACAUAGACAAUGGCGAUCUAUUAUGCUUUUUUAUACACCAGAGGAAAAUGAUAUUUUUUCUCUGCUAGUCAAUUUUUUGGCAUGGUCGUUUUAUGUAAUAAUUCAGUUUUAGUUGCAUUUUCUUGGACCAGCGUAUAUAAUUUUUUAAUUAUAUCUAUAACCAUUGCACAUUCUUGGAGUGGACCAUUACUCAAGAUUAAGCAGCAACUGGAAAAAAAAAUCUGGAUGUCUACAUGUAUAUAAAGUUCAAAUUCUUUAGUUCCAUUGACCCUCAUAUCCAUAAAGGCAGAGUUUCCAUGACUUUUAGGAGUAAAGGCUAUCUAGCAUCCUUUUCUAAUAGAAAGAGGAAGAAGACAUGGUAGAAUUUAUAUGGAUUUGCUCCAUAGGUUGUUGAGUAGGUGAAUGACAUAUCUCCUGCUUCUUGUAUAGCGUUAAAUAAAACUUUCAAAGGGUCACCACUAGAUGAGUAAGCUGUUUGUUUAAGUCAAUUGGUAUGCUACUUACUUUUGGGACUUUAUCCAGUCAGGUGAUUUUUUUUUAUCUUCUCCAAGUCAUUUCCUGCAAAUCCGUAAGACUAGCUAAUUUAGUGGCCUCUCUUUUGGAGAUCUGAGGUAAAGACAGGUUUUACAGAAGCUGCUUUAUGGCCAUACUAGGCUGUGUGUAUGUGGAAGGUGGGAUGAAUCAGAAUUGCUGUUUAACUUGUCAGAGAACUAUUUAAAUGAUUAAUUUCGCUACCCCUUCCUAGCCAGAUAACUUCCUAACCUCCUUGUCUUGGAUCAUGUUUAAAGUCUACUAUGCCUUUAACUUCAUCUUCAGUUUAAUUCCAGUGCUGAUUUCCAACAACUUUUACAGACUCAAAGAAAUUCUGUGUGUAGGCACAAAGUAAAAAAUGCAAUAUGCCAUCAAAUACACCAGAAAUUAUUUUAGGCAAAUGAACUCUGAGUAAAAACAUGUAAAAAUAUAAACACUGUUUAUGUAAAAUAAAAAUUGUAACCAA